This 68-nucleotide transfer RNA is filed under the name Sphaerodactylus townsendi. RNAcentral describes it as "tRNA-Ala". Lineage: Eukaryota; Metazoa; Chordata; Lepidosauria; Squamata; Sphaerodactylidae. The record is from RNAcentral.
GCUGUGGCUCAGUGGAAAAGCCUCUGCUUUGCAUGCUGGAAUCCCAGGCUCAAUUCCCAGCAUCUCCA